Molecule: ribosomal RNA, 254 nt
Filed under: uncultured bacterium
Lineage: Bacteria
Description: partial 16S ribosomal RNA
Rfam family: Bacterial small subunit ribosomal RNA
Source: RNAcentral
GACGUAGGGCGCGAGCGUUGUCCGGAUUUAUUGGGCGUAAAGAGCUCGUAGGCGGCUUGUCGCGUCGACUGUGAAAACCCGUGGCUCAACCAUGUGGUCUGCAGUCGAUACGGGCAGGCUAGAAUUCGGUAGGGGAGACUGGAAUUCCUGGUGUAGCGGUGAAAUGCGCAGAUAUCAGGAGGAACACCGGUGGCGAAGGCGGGUCUCUGGACAGUUCCUGACGCUGAGGCACGAAGGCCAGGGGAGCAAACGGG